This 403-nucleotide ribosomal RNA is filed under the name uncultured bacterium. RNAcentral's name for it is "partial 16S ribosomal RNA". It matches the Rfam family "Bacterial small subunit ribosomal RNA", at positions 30 to 526 of the family's 1533-position model. The record is from RNAcentral.
AUUGAACGCUGGCGGCGUGCCUAAUACAUGCAAGUCGAACGCAGUGGGGACGGGUGAGUAACACGUGGGUAACCUCCCAUCAGAGGGGAUACCACUUGGAAACAGGUGCUAAACCGAUACUGAUGGAUGGACCCGCGGUGCAUUAGUUAGUUGGGGAGGUAACGGCUCACAAAGGCCACGAUACAUAGGUGGCCUGGAAGGAUGACCGGCCACACUGGAACUGCGACACGGCCCAGACUCCUACGGGAGGCAGCAGUAGGGAAUCUUCGGCAAUGGACGAAAGUCUGAUCGAGCAACGCCGCGUGAGUGAAGAAGGUUUUCGGAUCGUAAAGCUCUGUUGUUAGGGAAGCGGUAUCUAACCAAAAAGCCACGGCUAACUACGUGCCAGCAGCCGCGGUAAUUC